Molecule: transfer RNA, 85 nt
Filed under: Treponema sp.
Lineage: Bacteria; Pseudomonadati; Spirochaetota; Spirochaetia; Treponematales; Treponemataceae
Description: tRNA-Ser
Rfam family: tRNA
About the family: Transfer RNA (tRNA) molecules are approximately 80 nucleotides in length.
Source: RNAcentral
GGAGAGAUGUCCGAGCGGUUGAAGGAGGCGGUCUUGAAAACCGUUGUGCCGCAAAGCACCGGGGGUUCGAAUCCCUCUCUCUCCG